Molecule: ribosomal RNA, 314 nt
Filed under: uncultured eukaryote
Lineage: Eukaryota
Description: partial 18S ribosomal RNA
Rfam family: Eukaryotic small subunit ribosomal RNA
Source: RNAcentral
CCCCUAGAUGUUCUGGGCCGCACGCGCGCUACACUGAACAGUUCAACAAGUCUUAACCUUGGCCGAUAGGUCUGGGUAAUCUUUGAACGCCGGUCGUGAUGGGGAUAGACUUUUGCAAUUUUUGGUCUUCAACGAGGAAUUCCUAGUAAACGCAAGUCAUCAACUUGCAUUGAUUACGUCCCUGCCCUUUGUACACACCGCCCGUCGCACCUACCGAUUGAAUGGUCCGGUGAAGCCUCCGGAUUGGCGCGCACCUCGGUGCCGCCGAGAAGUUGGCUAAACCUUACCAUUUAGAGGAAGGUGAAGUCGUAACA